RNAcentral lists this unclassified non-coding RNA (421 nucleotides) under soil metagenome. RNAcentral's name for it is "partial contains 5.8S ribosomal RNA, internal transcribed spacer 2, and large subunit ribosomal RNA". The stretch from base 1 to 120 matches the Rfam family "5.8S ribosomal RNA", at positions 35 to 154 of the family's 154-position model. The record is from RNAcentral.
GAUGAAGAACGUAGCGAAAUGCGAUACGUAAUGUGAAUUGCAGAAUUCAGUGAAUCAUCGAAUCUUUGAACGCAUAUUGCGCUCUUUGGUAUUCCGAAGAGCAUGCUUGUUUGAGUAUCAGUAAACACCUCAACCUCUUCUUGAUUUUUCAAAAGGAGGGUGGACUUGAGCUAUCCCAACAACCUUUACCGGUCGGCGGGCGGCUUGAAAUGCAGGUGCAGCUGGACUUUUAUCUGAGCUAAAAGCAUAUCUAUUUAGUCCUCGUCAAACAGGAUUAUUACUUUUGCUGCAGCUAACAUAAAGGAUAAUUGUCCUCUUUGCUGACUGAUGCAGGAUUUUACGACACUUUAUGUGUUGUUCAACUCGAUCUCAAAUCAAGAAAGACUACCCGCUGAACUUAAGCAUAUCAAUAAGCGGAGGA